UACAGAGGUCCCAAGCGUUGUUCGGAGUUACUGGGCGUAAAGGGUGUGUAGGCGGUUGUUUAAGUUUGGUGUGAAAUCUCCCGGCUCAACUGGGAGGGUGCGCCGAAUACUGAAUGACUUCGAGUGCGGGAGAGGAAAGUGGAAUUCCUGGUGUAGCGGUGAAAUGCGUAGAUAUCAGGAGGAACACCGGUGGUGUAGACGGCUUUCUGGACCGUAACUGACGCUGAGACACGAAAGCGUGGGUAGCAAACAGG
RNAcentral lists this ribosomal RNA (254 nucleotides) under uncultured bacterium. Its description in RNAcentral is "partial 16S ribosomal RNA". It matches the Rfam family "Bacterial small subunit ribosomal RNA", at positions 524 to 776 of the family's 1533-position model. The record is from RNAcentral.